UUUUAUUCUUUAUUCUUGAGAUUGGCUUACGUGUGUGUCACAUUACUCUCAAUUAUUUAUCAUGGCUUAACCAUAUAUGAACUUUGGUCUAUUACUUAAGCUUAGGGUCCCGGAUAUGUAUCUGAUAAAUCCUUUUACACACCAGUGCUAUGCUUUGGGAAAAUCUAAAUAACGAUACCCUGAAUACUCUCCAGGUGAAAUGCUACAAUGGUAUAUCUGUGCACUUGCGAAUUUAUUCAUAAUGUUAAGAAAUACCAACACAUAGGCAUACAUCCACAAUGGGUACAAUGACACACUCUAACUAAUGGAGCACAACAACGCAUAGGCAUACAAGUGGUGCACCGACAUACUACUACCAUCAUGGGCUCAUGGCCACCCCACGGCAGCACGGAAUUUAGCAAAAC
RNAcentral lists this long non-coding RNA (404 nucleotides) under Setaria viridis. Its description in RNAcentral is "long non-coding RNA (SVIR_LNC006811)". Lineage: Eukaryota; Viridiplantae; Streptophyta; Magnoliopsida; Poales; Poaceae. The record is from RNAcentral.